Molecule: ribosomal RNA, 128 nt
Filed under: Klebsiella aerogenes
Lineage: Bacteria; Pseudomonadati; Pseudomonadota; Gammaproteobacteria; Enterobacterales; Enterobacteriaceae
Also listed under: 4 other names
Description: partial 16S ribosomal RNA
Rfam family: Bacterial small subunit ribosomal RNA
Source: RNAcentral
AAAUUGAAGAGUUUGAUCAUGGCUCAGAUUGAACGCUGGCGGCAGGCCUAACACAUGCAAGUCGAGCGGUAGCACAGAGAGCUUGCUCUCGGGUGACGAGCGGCGGACGGGUGAGUAAUGUCUGGGAA